Molecule: ribosomal RNA, 199 nt
Filed under: uncultured bacterium
Lineage: Bacteria
Description: partial 16S ribosomal RNA
Rfam family: Bacterial small subunit ribosomal RNA
Source: RNAcentral
ACGCUCGACACCUACGGAGGCAGCAGUGGGGAAUAUUGCACAAUGGGGGAAACCCUGAUGCAGCGACGCCGCGUGAGCGAAGAAGUAUUUCGGUAUGUAAAGCUCUAUCAGCAGGGAAGAAACUGACGGUACCUGACUAAGAAGCACCGGCUAAAUACGUGCCAGCAGCCGACGGUAAUCUGAGGCGGGCUGGCAAGGC